GGAGGAAAAGAAACCAACAGGGAUUGCCCUAGUAACGGCGAGUGAAGCGGCAACAGCUCAAAUUUGAAAUCUGGCGUCUCCGGCGUCCGAGUUGUAAUUUGUAGAGGAUGCUUCUGGGCAGCCACCGGUCUAAGUUCCUUGGAACAGGACGUCAUAGAGGGUGAGAAUCCCGUAUGCGACCGGAAGGGCACCCUCCACGUAGCUCCUUCGACGAGUCGAGUUGUUUGGGAAUGCAGCUCUAAAUGGGAGGUAAAUUUCUUCUAAAGCUAAAUACCGGCCAGAGACCGAUAGCGCACAAGUAGAGUGAUCGAAAGAUGAAAAGCACUUUGGAAAGAGAGUUAAAAAGCACGUGAAAUUGUUGAAAGGGAAGCGCUUGCAACCAGACUUGCUGGCGGUGUUCCGCCGGUCUUCUGACCGGUUCAUUCGCCGUCUGCAGGCCAGCAUCAUCUGGGGCCGCCGGAUAAAAACGGUGGGAAUGUGGCUCCCUCGGGAGUGUUAUAGCCCUCCGUGUAAUACGGCGUGCCUCGGGUGAGGUCCGCGCUUCGGCUUGGAUGCUGGCAUAAUGGUUGUAAGCGGCCCGUCUUGAAACACGGACCAAGGAGUCUAACAUCUAUGCGAGUGUUCGGGUGUCAAACCCCUACGCGUAAUGAAAGUGAACGGAGGUGGGAACUUUUUGUGCACCAUCGACCGAUCCUGAUGUCUUCGGAUGGAUUUGAGUAAGAGCAUAGCUGUUGGGACCCGAAAGAUGGUGAACUAUGCCUGAAUAGGGUGAAGCCAGAGGAAACUCUGGUGGAGGCUCGCAGCGGUUCUGACGUGCAAAUCGAUCGUCAAAUUUGGGUAUAGGGGCGAAAGACUAAUCGAACCAU
RNAcentral lists this ribosomal RNA (866 nucleotides) under Fumagospora capnodioides. Its description in RNAcentral is "eukaryotic LSU rRNA". It matches the Rfam family "Eukaryotic large subunit ribosomal RNA", at positions 52 to 943 of the family's 3401-position model. The record is from RNAcentral. Lineage: Eukaryota; Fungi; Ascomycota; Dothideomycetes; Capnodiales; Readerielliopsidaceae.